AAAGCGUGAUUGAUCUGUUUUGUUUAUAUUCUUUUUGUGUAGUUAGACACACAUAAGACAGGUUUAGUCGUCCUUAUUAGUCUUGUUGCAAUAGUAUUGUUAAGGUAGUAUUUGGAUUGUUAAGACUUGUCUUUUUAUAAUAAAUUAGUAGAUUUAUUACGCAGGCUCUUUUGAACAGGAUGCAGCGUUUUGUCAGGAAGCAUUUUCCUUUUAUUUUUUCAGGUGCCCAAGACAGGAGAAAAGUGAACCCUAUUGCUGGGGACUCCAAUGCUCAUCGGAUUAAGGAUAUUCUUCCUGACGAUAUAGCUGUCAAAUGCCUGCCAAUCUCUGGUGCCAAAUUUUCUUGUGAUCGUUUUCGCCAUGCAUUGUUGAGAGACUUGCGGAAGAUGGAUGUUCAACAGCUGUAUCUUCAUCUAGGCUCAAAUGACAUUCUUACGAAUGAAGCGGUGUUUUACCGGAGGCGCACAAUCGGUGUCCAGAAUGCAGGGUUGUUUGCUCCAACGAUGACGCUUUGCUGAGCCACUUCUGCAGUCGCCAUAUCAAGCAACCAGAGACUGGAAAAGAGAGUAAAAUUAAGCUGAUAGGCUCACAAAUGGUAUGACUUUAAAUCACUAACUUGUGUAUGCUUGACAAGCAUUUUAUGUACAAAUAAAGUAACAAAAAAGGAGGUCAACACAUGCACUUUCCCAUAUAAUGCUUUCUGUAUCUUUUAGCAACUAAUGACACGAUUUUGUGUUGACAUACUCAAUAUGAUAGUUAUAGCCCUAUAUAACUGGUAUGUUCAUUUUAGUUAAUCUUUCUAUUUUAAUUAAACCUGUUUGUUUAGCUAGAUUGCUUGAAAAACACAACCAGGAUUAUUUUUAUGCCCCCGGAUCGAAAGAUCGGGGGUAUAUUGUUUUUGGCCUGUCUGUCAUUGUAUGUGUCCGUGUGUUUGUGUGUGUGUGU
This is a long non-coding RNA of Dreissena polymorpha, 945 nucleotides long. RefSeq lists it as uncharacterized. The transcript has 3 exons. The record is from RefSeq and is a predicted model, not a curated record. NCBI's taxonomy places the organism in Eukaryota, Metazoa, Mollusca, Bivalvia, Myida, Dreissenidae.